CUCCUGUCAUUUGGGAACAAGGUGCACACGUUGACUGCGUGGGCAUUGAUAGUACCAGAAGAGGAAGGGACGGCUAACUCUGUGC
This 85-nucleotide ribosomal RNA is filed under the name uncultured bacterium. RNAcentral describes it as "partial 16S ribosomal RNA". The record is from RNAcentral.